Erigeron canadensis is the source of this 981-nucleotide long non-coding RNA. RefSeq lists it as uncharacterized. The transcript is spliced from 3 exons. Lineage: Eukaryota; Viridiplantae; Streptophyta; Magnoliopsida; Asterales; Asteraceae. The record is from RefSeq and is a predicted model, not a curated record.
ACUAGAAGCGUAUACUCCUUGAUGAUAAGUUUGAAGUGCGGUUAGGAAUCCCAAGGGAGGCAUGUACCCAUGAGGGUGAUAGUUAUAAUCUAACAGGAUCAAAAGAAUGCUAUGAUUUGUGCAGGACAUCCGGAAAAAGGCUUUUGGUAUUGAUGGAGCUUGUAGAAUGCAGAAUUGUGAUCAGUGGAUAGAGUGAGUUAACCACAAAAAGACAUAUUAGAAGGUAUCCUUUCAUACAUCAGUUUAGACGAUAGAGAUCUUGUGAUAAACAUUAUGGAUCUGAGAUUAGUAUGAGGAUUUAUUGGAAGAGUUUGGACUAUGGCUGCUAUCGCUAGAUCUUGCUUUGUCAAAAACCUUUAAAGUGACCCUUAUGAGAUUCAGACUAAAAACUUUGGAAAAUCCUUUCAAAGUCGUACUGGGAGAUUCUACAAAUUUGUAUAAACUUUGGGUGAAUACCUCCAAGGGUUAUUGGGGUGCCAGCAGCUCACGUGUGUCAUAGCUUGCCUCAUCAGGUGGCAUGGUCAUCUGUCUACUAGAUGUUCCCAAUGAUGUAGUUCCUAAACCACUAGAUGUGCCAAAUAAAGAGACAUCAAUUAAGAACCAGAAUGGAUUGAUUCUUUGUAAUAACGGGUCUGGGAGGCUCCAUUGAACAUCUAUGACGUACAAGAAACUGAACACUUGGUGGUGGUUCCGUUUCAGGGAUACUUGAUGCACAGAGGUUAUGCAUUUUUCUACAUGGGUUUAGAUAUUGAUAGCAUUGACAGAUAGGGAACGAGAAUACACAGGUAUUAGACUUUUAGUGAUGAGUAAAUAUCGUUGCUAAGCUUCAGAGCUUUGUUUAAAGCAAAGCUUGGAAGUUUUUUGUUUGUCGUGUAAAUUGUUUAUGAGUUUUGCUUUAAGAAAGGAAAAGUGAGUAGGGGUGAUUAUUUGGUAACUACUGCAUCUCUGUGUAAUUGACUUAUUGAGUCAAAACAUAAUUUU